UGGCGAAAUUUGUGAUUAUAGAAGUAUAAAAUACAAUCAUAAUAGUGUACAAACUUACAAUUCCAAUUAAUUAUAGUCGAAUUUCGACUACUGCGGGACCUCUAGUAAAUAGAAUUUUGAAUAUUGAAACAUUAGAAGAAGGAACAUUAGAAAUAUAAAAGCAUUUUGGAAUAUUGAAAUAUAAAAAAAUAUAAAAAUAGCGGUGAAGCAAUAGCUUUAAAUACUCUUUUUAGAGCAACUCAAUUUGUGCUAUAGUUUUACUAGACUAAACUGUAUUUUGAUGUUAAUAAAAUAAUACAUUAUAUUUAUAUACUUAAGUACUAUACAAUCCGUAUAUGGAUACAAUUGAAACAGCAUUUUUUAUAAAUAAUUAUUGAAACAAACAAAAAGCAAUAAAUAAGGAAGCCGGGUGAUGGUAGACCGCGUUUCCCCGACCGCUCCGGGGAAAAUGCAGCGCGGCGCCAUCAAGGCGGGCUCCCGGCCCGUUGACCGAGGGAACCGGUAGUCGUGUCGCCGCUGUCGCCGGUCCGACGUCUAGGGGACGGCGGGAUGGAUGUAAUAUGCUUUGCAUACACCCUCUCCGCCGUCUCAACAACUCCGACUGGGCUCCGGCCCGGUUUGGGGUAGGGCACCGGCUGUGAGCGGCAGGAGUUUUUUUUUAAGAUUCAACUCCCACAUACGCCACCCGCUGCGCGGAUCCGGCGAUUUUCUCCUGUGGAAAAAACAAAAAAACAUUCGAAGCGAGGGCGGGUCGCUAGUAAGAAAUAAAUAUCAAUCAGAGGCUGUGAAUGAAAACGGGUGCUCGUCCAACCAAAGGUCGUUUCGCCAGAACGUGUAAUUUCCAGAAGCCGUAAAUAAUACUUAUUACAUUAACAUGGAAACUUAAUGUGUCUUAUGAUUGUUUGGUUUUGGAUGAAUUAUUUUAGACCUAUCUAUGUACGAUAUCAGGUUUAGAAAUAAGUACCUUCAUAUUUAACAAAAAAACACACAAAUUUACUUUUAAAUAAAUAUCUUUGUCUCUCC
Bombyx mori (domestic silkworm) is the source of this 1023-nucleotide long non-coding RNA. RefSeq lists it as uncharacterized. The record is from RefSeq and is a predicted model, not a curated record. The transcript has 3 exons. Lineage: Eukaryota; Metazoa; Arthropoda; Insecta; Lepidoptera; Bombycidae.